RNAcentral lists this ribosomal RNA (429 nucleotides) under Fusobacteriota bacterium. RNAcentral describes it as "Fusobacteria bacterium partial 16S ribosomal RNA". It matches the Rfam family "Bacterial small subunit ribosomal RNA", at positions 355 to 776 of the family's 1533-position model. Lineage: Bacteria; Fusobacteriati; Fusobacteriota. The record is from RNAcentral.
UGGGGAAUAUUGCGCAAUGGGCGAAAGCCUGACGCAGCGACGCCGCGUGAGGGAUGAAGGUUUUCGGAUCGUAAACCUCUGUCAGAAGGGAAGAAACCGCACUGUGCUAAUCAGCAGUGCCUUGACGGUACCUUCAAAGGAAGCACCGGCUAACUCCGUGCCAGCAGCCGCGGUAAUACGGAGGGUGCAAGCGUUAAUCGGAAUUACUGGGCGUAAAGCGCACGUAGGCUGCUUUGUAAGUCAGGGGUGAAAUCCCACGGCUCAACCGUGGAGCUGCCUUUGAUACUGCUUAGCUUGAGUGCGGGAGGGGGUGGCGGAAUUCCAGGUGUAGGAGGGAAAUCCGUAGAUAGCUGGAGGAACGUCGGUGGCGAAGGCGGCCACCUGGACCGGUAUUGACGCUGAGGUGCGAAAGCGGGGGGAGCAAGCAGG